Molecule: non-coding RNA, 95 nt
Filed under: Liquorilactobacillus ghanensis
Lineage: Bacteria; Bacillati; Bacillota; Bacilli; Lactobacillales; Lactobacillaceae
Also listed under: 1 other name
Description: Lactobacillus ghanensis THF-I sequence
Rfam family: THF (Tetrahydrofolate) riboswitch aptamer
About the family: THF riboswitch presents a pseudoknot that joins P1-P2 and the loop of P3 and two THF binding.
Source: RNAcentral
UUCGGGGUAGAAAAUGAAGCGUUAAGUGCUGAAAGGACGGAAUGUGUCUUUCAGACGAAAGGAUUUCCUGCGGUUUUAUUUUCGCAUUCGCCGCA